AAAAGGCAGAGGAACAAAUCUGAGAUUAAAAAAACUGGAGAGAAAAAGGAGGAGACAAAAUCCUGUGGCUCACAUAACACUGUGGUCUAAAAACCUCAGUCUAUUUAUUAAUGAAAAAGCAGAAAAGAUCUAAAACAGAGAAACAUGAAAUCAUGAAAACCAUAGAAGCAAAUUAAACAGCUACUGAUGAAUCCAGUGAAAUGAGGCCUGACAGGUUUGAAAGGCAUUUUCCAGGAACCGUUUGGACUUCCUGGACUGAAGGGAAACAGAAACAUCCCCGUUUCCACUGAACGGAACCGCCAUCGUUGACAUCGACACCAAGAUGACUCCAGCGACGAUCCCCAAACCCUGAGCCCGACCUGAACACACAGCGCGUUCACAUCCAGGACGACCGGGUCACUUUAAAACAAUCACCUGUUGUUUCCGGGUUGACCAGCCUCUCGGUCUUGUGGUUCUUCCGGGUUGUGACGGUGCAGAC
Poecilia latipinna (sailfin molly) is the source of this 478-nucleotide long non-coding RNA. RefSeq lists it as uncharacterized. The transcript is spliced from 4 exons. Lineage: Eukaryota; Metazoa; Chordata; Actinopteri; Cyprinodontiformes; Poeciliidae. The record is from RefSeq and is a predicted model, not a curated record.